RNAcentral lists this ribosomal RNA (478 nucleotides) under uncultured bacterium. Its description in RNAcentral is "partial 16S ribosomal RNA". It matches the Rfam family "Bacterial small subunit ribosomal RNA", at positions 28 to 507 of the family's 1533-position model. The record is from RNAcentral.
GAUGAACGCUGGCGGCGUGCUUAACACAUGCAAGUCGAACGAGAAAUGGAGACGGACACCUUCGGGCGGAAGGCUUCAUUUCGAGUGGCGGACGGGUGAGUAACGCGUGGGUAACCUGCCUCAUACAGGGGGAUAACAGUUGGAAACGACUGUUAAUACCGCAUAAGACCACAGCACCGCAUGGUGCGGGGGUAAAAACUCCGGUGGUAUGAGAUGGACCCGCGUUCGAUUAGCCAGUUGGCGGGGUAACGGCCCACCAAAGCGACGAUCGAUAGCCGAUCUGAGAGGAUGACCGGCCACAUUGGGACUGAGACACGGCCCAAACUCCUACGGGAGGCAGCAGUGGGGAAUAUUGCACAAUGGGGGAAACCCUGAUGCAGCGACGCCGCGUGAGUGAAGAAGUACUUCGGGAUGUAAAGCCCUAUCAGCAGGGAAGAAAAUGACGGUACCUGAGUAAGAAGCCCCGGCUAACUACGUG